CAGAGAGAGGGUAUGGAGGUAGAUAAAAGAUAUAUGGAUAAAUAGAUAAGUAGAUGAAUGGACAGAUGGAUACAUACAUAGCCAGAUAUGGACAGUUGAUGAUAGAUAAAUAGACAUUGACAGAUAGGUGAUACCCAGAUAGACAGACAUAGAAAACAGAUGUGAAUAGAUAAAAGACAGGCAGAUAAUAGAUGAACACAUAGAUACAGAGAUGGAUACAUAGACAGAUAGAUAGUUACAUAGUUAGGUUAGCUACAUAGUUACAUAAGUAGGGUAGGUACAUAGGUAGGAUAGAUACAUAGUUACAUAGAUAGGAUAGAUACAUAGUUGCAUAGAUAGGCUAGAUACAAAAAAAAAGGCUAGAUACAUAGUUAACAGGUAGGAUAGAUACAUAGUUACAUAGAUAGGAUACAUACAUAGUCAUAUAGAUAGGAUAGAUACAUAGUUACAUACACAGGACAGAUACACAGUGACAUAGGAUAGAUACAUAGUUGCAUAGAUAGGAUAGAUACAUA
Long non-coding RNA from Heterocephalus glaber (naked mole-rat), 515 nucleotides. The record is from Ensembl. NCBI's taxonomy places the organism in Eukaryota, Metazoa, Chordata, Mammalia, Rodentia, Bathyergidae.